Molecule: ribosomal RNA, 503 nt
Filed under: uncultured bacterium
Lineage: Bacteria
Description: partial 16S ribosomal RNA
Rfam family: Bacterial small subunit ribosomal RNA
Source: RNAcentral
AUUGAACGCUGGCGGCAGGCUUAACACAUGCAAGUCGAGCGGGGUGAUGGUGCUUGCACUAUCACUUAGCGGCGGACGGGUGAGUAAUGCUUAGGAAUCUGCCUAUUAGUGGGGGACAACAUCUCGAAAGGGAUGCUAAUACCGCAUACGUCCUACGGGAGAAAGCAGGGGAUCACUUGUGACCUUGCGCUAAUAGAUGAGUCUAAGUCGGUUUAGCUAGCUGGUGGGGUAAAGGCCUACCAAGGCGACGAUCUGUAGUGGGUCUGAGAGGAUGAUCAGCCAGACUGGGGCUGGGACACGGCCCAGACUUCUACGGGAGGCAGCAGUGGGGAAUAUUGGACAAUGGGGGAAACCCUGGUCCAGCCAUGCCGCGUGUGUGAAGAAGGCCUUAUGGUUGUAAAGCACUUUAAGCGAGGAUGAGGCUCUUUUGGUUAAUACCCAAGAUGAGUGGACGUUACUCGCAGAAUAAGCACCGGCUAACUCUGUGCCAGCAGCCGCAGUAA